This 197-nucleotide ribosomal RNA is filed under the name uncultured bacterium. RNAcentral's name for it is "partial 16S ribosomal RNA". It matches the Rfam family "Bacterial small subunit ribosomal RNA", at positions 337 to 526 of the family's 1533-position model. The record is from RNAcentral.
UCCUACGGGAGGCAGCAGUAGGGAAUCUUCCACAAUGGACGAAAGUCUGAUGGAGCAACGCCGCGUGAGUGAAGAAGGUUUUCGGAUCGUAAAACUCUGUUGUAAGGGAAGAACAAGUACAGUAGUAACUGGCUGUACCUUGACGGUACCUUAUUAGAAAGCCACGGCUAACUACGUGCCAGCAGCCGCGGUAAUAA